This 109-nucleotide non-coding RNA is filed under the name Entosiphon sulcatum. Lineage: Eukaryota; Euglenozoa; Entosiphonea; Entosiphonida; Entosiphonidae. The record is from RNAcentral.
ACUCGUUUCUUAGUAAUACUUUGUUUCGGUAUCUAUCCUAGCCCUUGCGGCUGGCACCCAGGCAAGUUUCCCUGCCUGGGUCCUUUUGGCUUUUUUUGGUGUGUUUGUG